AUUGAACGCUGGCGGCAUGCCUUACACAUGCAAGUCGAACGGCAGCACGGGGGCAACCCUGGUGGCGAGUGGCGAACGGGUGAGUAAUACAUCGGAACGUGCCCAGUAGUGGGGGAUAGCUCGGCGAAAGACGGAUUAAUACCGCAUACGACCUACGGGUGAAAGCGGGGGAUCGCAAGACCUCGCGCUAUUGGAGCGGCCGAUGCCAGAUUAGGUUGUUGGGGGGGUAAAAGCCCACCAAGCCGACGAUCUGUAGCUGGUCUGAGAGGACGACCAGCCACACUUGGACUGAGACACGGCCCAGACUCCUACGGGAGGCAGCAGUGGGGAAUUUUGGACAAUGGGCGAAAGCCUGAUCCAGCCAUGCCGCGUGCGGGAAGAAGGCCUUCGGGUUGUAAACCGCUUUUGUCAGGGAAGAAAUUUUCCGAGCUAAUACCUCGGGAGGAUGACGGUACCUGAAGAAUAAGCACCGGCUAACUACGUGCCAGCCGCCGCGGUAA
Molecule: ribosomal RNA, 500 nt
Filed under: uncultured bacterium
Lineage: Bacteria
Description: partial 16S ribosomal RNA
Rfam family: Bacterial small subunit ribosomal RNA
Source: RNAcentral